GGGAUUGUAGUUCAAUUGGUCAGAGCACUGCCCUAUCAAGGCGAAAGCUGAGGGUUCGAGCCUCGUUAGUCCCA
Non-coding RNA from Gossypium hirsutum (cotton), 74 nucleotides. The record is from Rfam. Lineage: Eukaryota; Viridiplantae; Streptophyta; Magnoliopsida; Malvales; Malvaceae.